RNAcentral lists this ribosomal RNA (407 nucleotides) under uncultured bacterium. RNAcentral describes it as "partial 16S ribosomal RNA". It matches the Rfam family "Bacterial small subunit ribosomal RNA", at positions 30 to 526 of the family's 1533-position model. The record is from RNAcentral.
AUUGAACGCUGGCGGCAGGCCUAACACAUGCAAGUCGAGCGGCGCGGCGGUCGGGUGAGUAAUGCCAAGGAAUCUGCCCGGUAGUGGGGGAGAACGUUCCGAAAUGGGCGCUAAUACUGCAUCCUAUUAGCUGAGCCUAGGUCGGAUUAGCUGGUGGGUGGGGUAAAGGCCUACAAAGGCGACGACCCGUAACUGUUUCGAGAGGAGGAUCAGUCACACUGGAAUGGAGACACGGUCCAGACUCCUACGGUAGGCAGCAGUGGGGAAUAUUGGACAAUGGGCGAAAGCCGGAUCCAGACAUGCCGCGUGGGUGAAGAAGGUCUUCGGUUUGUAAAGCACUUUAAGUUGGGAGGCGUUACCAACAGAAGAAGCACCGGCUAACUUCGUGCCAGCAGCCGCGGUAAUUC